GAGUUUGAUCCUGGCUCAGAUUGAACGCUGGCGGCAUGCCUUACACAUGCAAGUCGAACGGCAGCACGGGAGCAAUCCUGGUGGCGAGUGGCGAACGGGUGAGUAAUAUAUCGGAACGUGCCCAGUAGUGGGGGAUAGCCCGGCGAAAGCCGGAUUAAUACCGCAUACGACCUGAGGGUGAAAGCGGGGGAUCGCAAGACCUCGCGCUAUUGGAGCGGCCGAUAUCAGAUUAGCUAGUUGGUGGGGUAAAGGCCUACCAAGGCGACGAUCUGUAGCUGGUCUGAGAGGACGACCAGCCACACUGGGACUGAGACACGGCCCAGACUCCUACGGGAGGCAGCAGUGGGGAAUUUUGGACAAUGGGCGCAAGCCUGAUCCAGCCAUGCCGCGUGCGGGAAGAAGGCCUCGG
This 409-nucleotide ribosomal RNA is filed under the name uncultured Gammaproteobacteria bacterium. Its description in RNAcentral is "bacterial SSU rRNA". It matches the Rfam family "Bacterial small subunit ribosomal RNA", at positions 9 to 420 of the family's 1533-position model. Lineage: Bacteria; Pseudomonadati; Pseudomonadota; Gammaproteobacteria. The record is from RNAcentral.